GAUAAGAUGCCUGAUAAAAGGGCUAUUUUGAUAGAAUAGAUUAUGUAACAAUUACUCUUAUUG
RNAcentral lists this transfer RNA (63 nucleotides) under Urolabida histrionica. Its description in RNAcentral is "tRNA-Ile". The record is from RNAcentral. Lineage: Eukaryota; Metazoa; Arthropoda; Insecta; Hemiptera; Urostylididae.